RNAcentral lists this unclassified non-coding RNA (332 nucleotides) under soil metagenome. RNAcentral describes it as "partial contains 5.8S ribosomal RNA, internal transcribed spacer 2, and large subunit ribosomal RNA". The stretch from base 1 to 120 matches the Rfam family "5.8S ribosomal RNA", at positions 35 to 154 of the family's 154-position model. The record is from RNAcentral.
GAUGAAGAACGCAGCAAAAUGCGAUAAGUAAUGUGAAUUGCAGAAUUCAGUGAAUCAUCGAAUCUUUGAACGCACAUUGCGCCCGCCAGAAUACUGGCGGGCAUGCCUGUUCGAGCGUCAUUUCAACCCUCAAGCACAGCUUGGUGUUGGGACUCGCGUUAAUUCGCGUUCCUCAAAUUGAUUGGCGGUCACGUCGAGCUUCCAUAGCGUAGUAGUAAAACCCUCGUUACUGGUAAUCGUCGCGGCCACGCCGUUAAACCCCACCUUCUGAAUGUUGACCUCGGAUCAGGUAGGAAUACCCGCUGAACUUAAGCAUAUCAAUAAGCGGAGGA